This is a non-coding RNA of Tessaracoccus lapidicaptus, 368 nucleotides long. It matches the Rfam family "transfer-messenger RNA". Rfam says of the family: Bacterial tmRNA, also known as 10Sa RNA or SsrA, is named for its dual tRNA and mRNA-like properties. Its role is to liberate the mRNA from a stalled ribosome. The record is from Rfam. NCBI's taxonomy places the organism in Bacteria, Bacillati, Actinomycetota, Actinomycetes, Propionibacteriales, Propionibacteriaceae.
GGGGGUGACUGGUUUCGACUUGGGACGGUAGUUCCAGGGGAAGCGGGUCGAGGAUCCAUGCUUAUCUCGUUAACGACGCAUGGAAACCAAUAAGUGCCGAAAACAACCGCGCACAGUUCGCUCUCGCUGCCUGAUCAGCGACCGAACGGUCAGCCCGGACGUGCCUUCCGUCCGGUGACUGGCCUCAUUUAGAAGGCUUGCUGAGCCGCCUGUGUUUCAGGGGCGGUUCGGGACUUUACUGAAGCUGGGCUCGUUUGCGACAUGCUGACGUGAGUGCAAGAGCCGAGUAGAACGAUUAGUCAGCUGCACCCGGAGAAGCCCUGGUUCAUCUCUCGAGGACGCGGGUUCAAUUCCCGCCACCUCCACCA